CAAGGACUUUUUGCAUACCAAUUAUCCUCAGCACUGAGUGCCUGAUGCGUGGCUCCCAAAUUCAUCCAAAUUACCUGGUCCCAGGGAGCUGCUGCCCGCAAGUUAAAUUGAUGUCAGCAUGUCUAAAAACCAGAUUCAUGAUUUAAGAGCUUAAACAACAAUUCUACGCUUCCAAGCUUGAAGAGUGUGCCUUGAAUGCUCCUCUCUGAUUUUUUACUAGGUGCAGAUGUAACCCUUCCAACACAGUGGGUUACACAAGUGCCUAAUUGCAGAGCAAGGAGGAAGCACCAAGGAAUGCAUCUCCGCGUCCAAGCACUGGGCUCUGGUUUGUCCACCUCUCCCUGGGCUGAGACGAUGCAGAAACAAGCAAAGAGAAGGGACUUGAUCCCAACAAGAGGGAGAAGGGCUGUGGGAUGAAGAGCUGCAAGAACGGUGAGUGAGGGUUGGCUUUCCAAUCAACACAUUGACCUACUGCUCAUUUUGGUCAUCAGGGAGCUGAAGAGAGCCCUUGGGCCUACAGGCAGUGUUUUGGGAUCCAUAAAACGCCAGACAAGCUCUAUUGCAACUGCCCUGUACCCCAGAACAGAGCCUGAUGUCCUUGUGGAGGUGAUUCUCCCAUCAACCAAGGUCUCCAGAGGGGCUGAGAGGGGCAGAAGAGGCUGAGGAGCUGGAGCUGCUGGGGCACAGCCAGAGACCGCAGGGGCCGUAUUCGGUGCCUGCCUCAAGUCUGGGCAACCCCGUCUGUUCCCAUCAGGAGGCCCAGGCGGUAAAUUGGGCCCUGAAUAUAUAAUUAAGCAAAGGGCACCAUCCUGAAGCCAAGGUUCACACUGCUCUGUUGUGGCUGGGGUGGGAACAGCCCUGUGCAAAUCAGUCUCAGGAUGUUGCUCCUAGUCAGCUGGAAACUUGGUAGCUCCACUCCAUAAAGGCUGGCUCUAACGCUUCAGCUCCCCAGCUGGCUUCGGCAUCCUGACCGGCACGCAAUUCUGUGGCUUGCUUUUCUGCACGACAGUCUGGAAACCUUCCUUGAGAGCCUCUUGUUUGCUGGCUGCCAGGAUUUGCCAUGCAGAUUCUUGCCAAAAGGAUAAUAUAAACAAAGCAUAAUGUCAAGUUUCCCACACAAGUAAGAUGAUCUAUUAGCACUGCACUUUGUACUAAUUAUUGCACAGUGGGUGGGGGCUUGUGAAAGGAGAUUUAUGCAUUCAGCUAGCCUCACUUUUAUUAUUUGUAAGUACUUUUUGGCAAGGAAUGAGCGAGAUAUGUAUUUUAUUGUUACGCUGUUGCAAACAUCCUAAUCUUCCGCACUCAUUAAAACCUCAUAACAAAUAGUAAGAAUGAUAUAUUGCAGCCACAGCCAG
RNAcentral lists this long non-coding RNA (1355 nucleotides) under Anser brachyrhynchus (Pink-footed goose). Its description in RNAcentral is "lncRNA (ENSABRG00000013599.1)". The record is from RNAcentral. Lineage: Eukaryota; Metazoa; Chordata; Aves; Anseriformes; Anatidae.